UACAGAGGGUGCAAGCGUUAAUCGGAGUUACUGGGCGUAAAGGGCGCGUAGGUGGUAAGUUAAGUGAGAUGUGAAAGACCUGGGCUUAACCUGGGAAUGGCAUCUUAUACUGGCUUUCUGGAGUACUGUAGAGGGUAGUGGAAUUUCCGGUGUAGCGGUGAAAUGCGUAGAGAUCGGAAGGAACACCAGUGGCGAAGGCGGCUACCUGGACAGAUACUGACACUGAGGCGCGAGAGCGUGGGGAGCAAAC
Molecule: ribosomal RNA, 250 nt
Filed under: uncultured bacterium
Lineage: Bacteria
Description: partial 16S ribosomal RNA
Rfam family: Bacterial small subunit ribosomal RNA
Source: RNAcentral